This 73-nucleotide transfer RNA is filed under the name Candidatus Nanopelagicus hibericus. RNAcentral's name for it is "tRNA-Lys". It matches the Rfam family "tRNA". Rfam says of the family: Transfer RNA (tRNA) molecules are approximately 80 nucleotides in length. Lineage: Bacteria; Bacillati; Actinomycetota; Actinomycetes; Candidatus Nanopelagicales; Candidatus Nanopelagicaceae. The record is from RNAcentral. RNAcentral also lists the same sequence under 1 other name.
GGGUUGUUAGCUCAGUUGGUAGAGCAGGUGACUCUUAAUCACCGGGUCAGGGGUUCAAAUCCCUUACAACCCA